Molecule: long non-coding RNA, 1160 nt
Organism: Vidua macroura (Pin-tailed whydah)
Lineage: Eukaryota; Metazoa; Chordata; Aves; Passeriformes; Viduidae
Exons: 2
Source: RefSeq, a predicted model, not a curated record
CCCAUCCGGUAGGUGGGGGCGCGGCGCUCCCGAGCCGGUGUGACCGGGAGCGGGGGCGGCUCGCUGGCAGAGCGCUGCGCGCUCCCCAGCCGGUUGGCAUCGCAGGCGACGCUGGCUGUGGCGCGGUGUCCGGCCCCGGUGUGUGAAGCGGCGCUGACGCACCUCAGGCGUACCGGGGAGGAUGCCCAGCUGCCGGGCUUCUCGGGGGUGCCCAGGCACAGGAAGUACCGGCUCAGUACUCAAACCCCGCCUCUCCGCCCGGCUGCCGGCUCCCGGCUCAGGUACACACCCAGCCCGGCUGGCAGGCAGCCGGGGCAACGAGGUCACUGUGCUGACAAGAGGCACUACUUCACACUCUGCACCAGACUGAAGACGGAUGAUGUUUCCUGGGGAAGACGGGCAAGGACCAACUGUGGGGAGGGAAAAGCAAAGUGUCUAACCAUACGUGGAAGUGGAAGACUGUCCCUGUGGGAGGGACCUCACUCUCGAGCAGCAGAGGACUGUGAAGAGGAAGGAGCAACACAAUCUCCAUCCACCUGUGCUGCUGGGAGACAGGAGGUAGAGAAUUUGUGCAGGAAGUCAAGCACAGGAAGAAGGGAGGUGUGGGGGGAAGGUGUUUUAUGAUUUGUUCUUAAUUCUCAUUAUUUCUGAUUUUAUUGGCAGUAGAUUCAAAUAAUUUCCCAAAACCACAUCUGUUUUGACUGCAUGUGAGUAACUGCUGAGUGAUCUUCCUGUCCUUAUCUUGAUGCACGAGUCAAGAUGCAAAUCCAUUACAUUUUUUCCCCUCUCCUGUUGAGGAGGGGCAAAUAAUAGAGCAGUUUUGGUCCAAGGACAGCCCACCACAGCCAUUCCAUGCAUUAGUUUAUCUCUUGCAAUUGUACCCUUUUCAAAGGGAAAUAAAAACAAAAAUACAGUAGAAAGUCAGACAGUCCAUCACAGCAUAUGAGCAAAUGCAAGACGAAGAAUUUUUAGUGCAAAAUAAUAGUACAGAAUUAUAUUUGGAAGCACUUUGUUUUAAACACAGCUAAACACAGCUGUCAUCUGUGAUAACAUCUUUUUCUUAUACAUAGGUUUAGGACUUUUACAAUAAAGUACUACAUUUCAAUCACUGACCAGUUCAGCUGUCACAUAUCAAAUAAUAAAAUCCAUCCUUUCCUUUC